This 1146-nucleotide long non-coding RNA is filed under the name Elaeis guineensis (African oil palm). RNAcentral's name for it is "long non-coding RNA (EGUI_LNC035862)". The record is from RNAcentral. Lineage: Eukaryota; Viridiplantae; Streptophyta; Magnoliopsida; Arecales; Arecaceae.
UGGGGUCACACUCAAAAGAGUUUCUGUCUGAUCAAGUGGCUGAUCAAUGAUUGAGAAUCAUUCUGAGGUUUAAUCAUCAAUUCGAUUGAUGAUUAACUUGAUGCAAAAGUUGCAAUGUGCUAAUUUACUAAGGGUUAGUGGAUUAAAGGAGGAUUGAUAAGCAAUUGGAUUGCUGAUUAGGUCAAUUUGAUUGAGCAAUGUAAUUUGAUUCAAGUCUAAUUGAAUUGGAUUCAAUUUGAUUUGACUCAAUUAGGUUAUGAGAUGAUCUAAUUGCUAAGGAUGAUUGAUUUCUGAUUUGAUUAGAAAUUGCACUCAAUCAAAUUCUUAUUUAAUCAAGUUUGAAACCUAAUUGGAUUGAGUUUAAGUUAUUUAAUUGGGUCUUAUCUAAUUUGAUUAGGUUGGAGACUUAUUUGAUAAAUUCUAAGAGUCCAAAACAACUUGGACUCUCCUAGCCGCCGACCACCCUUGUGCGCACACCAAUAUCUCAAUGCAAAUUCAGAUUUACGUGAGUGUUUGCAUGCCUCUCAAAGCUCUAUCGCCUCAUCUCAACGCCCACUCUUAAUAAGGAUCAAAAGGUGGAUAGGUUGAAUUCAAAUUUGAUUCGAAUAGGAGAUUAGAUGAGAAUUUGUUCUCAUCCAUCCAACUUCCGUGCCAUCUAUAAAAACCCCUCCCUUUUGUGUGACAAAAGAGAGUUGAAAUCAGUGUGAGAUUAGGAUUUUGAGCAAGAGGUCUACGGGUUGGGCGGCCAUCUUUGGCAUGUGAGCAUAGAGGAGUUCUUCCUCCUCUUGGGUGUGCAAAAACCUAAAUCUGAUCUAAGGUUUUUUGGUGAGGAAAAAAUAAAGAGAGAAGAAAGUUCUCUUCUAUCUUUUCCACCACCACAUCCUCCUCCAUCUUCAGAUCUGAAGGAGUUUGGGAGAUCUGAAGAGAGGAGCAGAUCAGCCAUCCAGUAGAUCUUCACAUAAACUAGUACUUUUAAGGAGAUCAAUCAGUGCAGGACUUCGAGUGGACCAACCAUAGAGUCUGGACAUCCUAUGCGGCUGUGAUCAUCCUUCGAGUCCUUGUGAUUCAAAUGUGGAGACCUUCUACCCAUGCUCAGAUAUCAAGUUCUGAACUGGAUCUGUAUGUAGAUGUGAUCUAUAGAUGCAU